GAGUCUCAUUCUGCGAAUGUUAUUCUGAUUGUAGAGAUCUAUAACUUCUUCUGCUGGUGGCAGGUCAUUGCCAUUCAUUCCAUAGCAAACACCUAUCUGAGCACCUGUUGCAUCAAUGCUAGCCAACAGCAAUCCAACAAAUAGAGUUAUGGAGAGUUUGGAAGAGCAUUUGCCAAUUAAAUAGGAACUUGCCAUCUGUAGAGAAGCUAUAGAGAAUAAAC
RNAcentral lists this unclassified non-coding RNA (221 nucleotides) under Hevea brasiliensis (rubber tree). Lineage: Eukaryota; Viridiplantae; Streptophyta; Magnoliopsida; Malpighiales; Euphorbiaceae. The record is from RNAcentral.